This 491-nucleotide ribosomal RNA is filed under the name uncultured bacterium. Its description in RNAcentral is "partial 16S ribosomal RNA". It matches the Rfam family "Bacterial small subunit ribosomal RNA", at positions 29 to 507 of the family's 1533-position model. The record is from RNAcentral.
GUGAACGCUGGCGGUAGGCCUAACACAUGCAAGUCGAACGGCAGCACAGUAAGAGCUUGCUCUUACGGGUGGCGAGUGGCGGACGGGUGAGGAAUACAUCGGAAUCUACUUUUUCGUGGGGGAUAACGUAGGGAAACUUACGCUAAUACCGCAUACGACCUACGGGUGAAAGCAGGGGAUCUUCGGACCUUGCGCGAUUGAAUGAGCCGAUGUCGGAUUAGCUAGUUGGCGGGGUAAAGGCCCACCAAGGCGACGAUCCGUAGCUGGUCUGAGAGGAUGAUCAGCCACACUGGAACUGAGACACGGUCCAGACUCCUACGGGAGGCAGCAGUGGGGAAUAUUGGACAAUGGGCGCAAGCCUGAUCCAGCCAUACCGCGUGGGUGAAGAAGGCCUUCGGGUUGUAAAGCCCUUUUGUUGGGAAAGAAAAGCAGCAGGUUAAUACCCCGCUGUUCUGACGGUACCCAAAGAAUAAGCACCGGCCAACUUCGUG